Molecule: transfer RNA, 73 nt
Filed under: Plasmodiophora brassicae
Lineage: Eukaryota; Endomyxa; Phytomyxea; Plasmodiophorida; Plasmodiophoridae
Rfam family: tRNA
About the family: Transfer RNA (tRNA) molecules are approximately 80 nucleotides in length. Their secondary structure includes four short double-helical elements and three loops (D, anti-codon, and T loops). Further hydrogen bonds mediate the characteristic L-shaped molecular structure. tRNAs have two regions of fundamental functional importance: the anti-codon, which is responsible for specific mRNA codon recognition, and the 3' end, to which the tRNAs corresponding amino acid is attached (by aminoacyl-tRNA synthetases). tRNAs cope with the degeneracy of the genetic code in two manners: having more than one tRNA (with a specific anti-codon) for a particular amino acid; and 'wobble' base-pairing, i.e. permitting non-standard base-pairing at the 3rd anti-codon position.
Source: Rfam by way of RNAcentral
GCUCGGUUGGUGCAGUGGUUAGCACGUCUGCUUUACACGCAGAAGGUCGGAGGUUCAAAUCCUCCAUCGAGUA